This 292-nucleotide ribosomal RNA is filed under the name uncultured bacterium. Its description in RNAcentral is "partial 16S ribosomal RNA". It matches the Rfam family "Bacterial small subunit ribosomal RNA", at positions 505 to 796 of the family's 1533-position model. The record is from RNAcentral.
GUGCCAGCCGCCGCGGUAAUACGAAGGGGGCUAGCGUUGUUCGGAAUUACUGGGCGUAAAGGGCGCGUAGGCGGUGCUGUAAGUCAGGCGUGAAAUCCCCGGGCUCAACCUGGGAAUUGCGCAUGAUACUGCGGCGCUGGAAUGCGGGAGAGGAUGGCGGAAUUCCCAGUGUAGAGGUGAAAUUCGUAGAUAUUGGGAAGAACACCGGUGGCGAAGGCGGCCAUCUGGCCCGUGAUUGACGCUGAGGCGCGAAAGCGUGGGGAGCAAACAGGAUUAGAAACCCCCGUAGUCC